AUGCAAGUCGAACGCGAACGGCUCCUUCGGGAGCCUAGUAGAGUGGCAAACGGGUGAGUAACGCGUGUGUAACGUACCCUGAUCCUGGGAAUAACCCUCGGAAACGAGGGCUAAUACCGAAUGUGGCGAACGACCGGUUGGUCGCUCGCUAAAGGUGGCCUCUUCUAUGCUGCCGGGUUGGGAUCGGCCCGCGUCCCAUUAGCUAGUUGGUGAGGUAACGGCUCACCAAGGCCACGAUGGGUAGCCGGCCUGAGAGGGUGUACGGCCACACUGGCACUGAGACAAGGGCCAGUCCCCUAUGGGAGGCGCAGGCGGGAAUAGUUCACAAUGGGCGAAAGCCUGAUGACGCGACGCCGCGUGAGCGAAGAAAGACCUUCGGGUUGUAAAGCUCUGUCAGGAGGGAAGAAGGCUCUACGGGUUAAUAGCCCGUGGAAUUGACGGUACCUCCAGAGGAAGCCCCGGUUAAAUACGUGCCAGCAGCCGCGGUAAUACGUAUGGGGCAAGCGUUGUCCGGAUUUACUGGGCGUAAAGGGCGCGUAGGCGGUUUGUAAAGUCGAAGGUGACAUCCUCGGGCUCAAUUCGAGAAUUGCCUUCGAAUACUGGCAAACUAGAGUGGCGGAGAAGGAAAGCGGAACUCUUGGUGUACCGGUGGAAUUGUGUAGAUUUCAAGAGGAACACCGGUGGCGAAGGCGGCUUUCUGGACGCACACUGAACGCUCAAGGCGCGAAAAGCGUGGGUAGCAAACAGGAUUAGACACCCUUGGUAGUCCACGGCAUAAACGAUGGGUACUAGGUGUCGGGGGUAAUCGACCCCUCCGGUGCAGCAGUUAACGCACUAAGUACCCCGCCUGGGGAUUAUGGUCGCAAGGCUGAAACUCAAAGGAAUUGACGGGCCCCGCACAAGCGGUGGAGCAUGUGGUUUAAUUCGACGCAACGCGAAGAACCUUACCUGGGCAUGACAUGCUUGGGACAGCGCUGGAAACAGCGUCUCUCCGUCGGGAGCCCUAGCACAGGUGCAGCAUGGCUGUCAGUCAGCUCGUGUCAUGAGAUGUUGGAUUAAGUCCCGCAACGAGCGCAACCCUCGUUACUAGUUGCCAUCAGUUCGGCUGGGCACUCUAGUGAGACUGCCGGUGAUAAACCGGAGGAAGGUGAGGAUGAUGUCAAGUCAUCAUG
RNAcentral lists this ribosomal RNA (1172 nucleotides) under uncultured organism. RNAcentral describes it as "bacterial SSU rRNA". It matches the Rfam family "Bacterial small subunit ribosomal RNA", at positions 55 to 1197 of the family's 1533-position model. The record is from RNAcentral.